GCUCCGCGGGCCUCUCAUUCUAACGCACGGAGCUGAGGGAGGAGGCGGCGAUGGCGGCCCCGGAGCCGGAAAUCCCGUCGCCGGCCGCAGGCACUGAUCUGGAGUGGUUUGAGAAGUCGGAGGAAAUUCACGGCUCCCCGGUGGAACUGCUGGAGACCGCCUCUGCCCCGGAGGCCCCCGGCUCUGCGGAGCACUGCUGCCCGAGAGACUGCAUGGUGCCGGUGGUGUUUCCCGGGCCGGUGAGCCAGGAGGGCUGCUGCCGCUUUACUUGUGAGCUGCUCAAGCACAUCAUGUAUCAGCGCCAGCAGCUGCCUCUGCCCUACGAACAGCUGAAGCACUUCUACCGAAAACCUUCUCCCCAGGCAGAAGACGUGGUGAGGAAGAAGCCCCGGACGGCCGCCGAGGCGAGCAGCAGGAAAUGCCAACAAGCCCUGGCGGAACUGGAGAGUGUCCUCAGUCACCUGGAGGACCUCUUUGCCCGAACCCUGGUACCACGAGUGCUGAUCCUGCUUGGGGGCAGUGCCCUAAGCCCCAAGGAGUUCUACGAACUCGACCUGUCCCGGCUGGCUCCCUACUGUGUGGACCAGAGCCUGAAUACAGCAGCCUGUUUGCGCCGGCUCUUCCGAGCCAUUUUCCUGGCCGAUGCCUUUAGCGAGCUGCAGGCCCCUCCGCUCAUGGGCACCAUCGUCAUGGCGCAGGGGCACCGUGACUGUGGAGAAGAUUGGUUUCGACCCAAGCUCAACUACCGCGUGCCCAGCCGCGGCCACAAACUGACCGUGAGCCUGUCCUGCGGCAGGCCUCCCGACCCAGCAGUGGCUUCGGAUGAUUACAUCUGGUUCCAGGCCCCAGUGACGCUGAAAGGCUUCCACGAGUGACGGAGGACGCUUCCUCAUCCUGGAACUGGACGGCCGAAUGGCCUGGCUCCCUUCGGCACCGAGCCACCCGACUCUCGCUUGGAGCUGGCGUUGCUUCCCAGUGAGAGGGGAAGGCACUGUCCUGGCUGCCUCCCCUCCUCACACUUCCGGGGGGCUGACGGUGUGUGGCUGGGACCAUGGUAUUCAUCCCUGAGCAACAGCUUGUUGAAUCAAAGGUUGAUUUUCCCAGAGGGUGCUGGGUCAGGUGUUUCUGUUUGGGCUUGCAGAGCAAAGCCGGGUCCACAGAGGGACACUCCUAUGGAGGCGGCCCUUCUCUGCUUGUUUGUCGUGUCCGUGCCGAGUUUUUACUGGGGAUGUAAAGGUGGAUGUGACUCAUGAACUUAAAUACAAAACAGAUGGAUUCAGAGUAAACUUUCCUGGAACGCUUGACUUACAGAGACCUUUCCGGCUGAGACUAAAGGGUUUUGGCUUUCUCCCGGGCCUCUUCUGCUGCAGGUCUUCCAGGAUAUUUUAUUACAGAGUUAUACAGAGAGAAGAAGAGGCAGAGGAGAGAGAAGAAGAGGUCGGUCGGUCUUCCAUCCGCUGGUUCACUCCCCAGUUGGCUGCAGUGGCCGGAGCUGCACUAAUCCAGAGCCAGGAGCUUCUUCUGGGUCUCCCACAAGCGGGUGCAGGGGUCCAGGCAUUUGGGACUCUUCUGCUGCUUUCCCAGACCAUGGCAGAGAACUGGGUCAAAAGUGGAGUGGCUGGGGCUUGAACCGGUGCCCAUGUGGGAUGCCAGCCCUGCAGGCGGUAACUUUACCUGCUACACCACAGUGCUGGCCCCUGUAAGUAGUUUGACAGCAGAGCUGGGAGUGGAGUCCCGUCAGCUCCUUCCUGCACUGACUUCAAGCCCAACAUUCUCUCCUUGCCGCAUGCUGAUCUUGGUGACCCUUGCGUUCUCUAUGUCCAAAGCAAAAAUGACCUUUGAUGUGUGGGAAGAACUGUGGUGAGGGACUGAGCUUAGCAGGCCCCAUCGAGAGCCCAGUGCUUUAGGGGAAGUCUCUGGCCCUGCGCUUGGUCUACCAUAGACUCUAAGCGGGGGAGGAGCUCCUCCACAGACUUGGCACCCUCACGUGCCCGGAGCUACAGCUCUGUUCCCAGGGCUUGGAGGGUCGCAGGUGCUGCUGGCGGGGCUCCUGUCAGCCAGGGGAAGGCAGCGGCAUUCCGUCCUCAUGGAGGCAGCUGUCAGCGAAACACAGGGCACGUGCCAUGCCUGGGGAGCUGAGGCCUCGGGUGAGACCCUGCAGAUCCCUCCAGCUGUUCCGGAGUCUCCACAGGCCUGGUCACCCUAGCCUGUCUGCCCUUCAGAUCUGGGGAGGGGACUGAGGAAAGAACAGGGAGGGGCUCAGUCACCGGCAGAGGCCCCAGGACUGCCCUGGGGUCCUGUGGGAUUUGCUCCCUGAGGCCAGAUGUGCCGUCUGGCGCUCUGCCCAGCCUUCUCUGUAGCUGUUUGCUGCGAGCAGUCACUGUUGGCAGUGUUGUCCUUAAGCCAAACCCCGCCUUCCUGCCGUGUGGGUCCCCCUCAGCUGCAUUGGAGGUGCCUCUCCUCAUCCUUGCUGGUCCCUGGGGUAGGAGAGCAGCUGCUCAUUUCCCCAGUAAGAAAGGUGAAAAGAAUCCUCUCCCUGCUGGUGCCGGAGAUAGCUGUGUGCUUAUGAACAGGUGAUACAUAAUUGCGAGACUGUUCCAUUAGGUAACCUAUGCAAAGUGCUUGAAACAGUGUAAAAGUUUUUGCCUUAGUAUGUAACACACAAAGGGAAAUUCUCAUUAUCCUUGCACUGAACUUUCUCAUGAGCUUGUUGAAGCCCCUCCUACAUACACUGUUUGGAGCACUUGCAUAUGGUACCUAGGCCCAACUGCCUUACAGUGUAUGCGUUAUUGUUCCCACUUUAUAGAUGAGGCUUAGGGAGAUCGGGUUACUUGCUCUGGUGGUGAAAUGUGGAUUCGAACCCAGCCCCCUGGCUCCAGAGGCUGCGCACUUCCCAUGGCGCAGUAGGGCUGUGUCUUACUGGGCAACAGUGAGUCAGGAUUUGUUCUGCCAAAGGCGUUGGCAUUGGGAAGCGGCAGCACUUCCCUCCCUGGUUCCUGACGUGGAGCCUGCCAUUAGCAGGCGCUGAGUAAACAUGGCUCAGUGAAAACAAACCACUUGGGCUCUUUGAUGUGCUGGGGUCACUUGAAGCAUGUUCCAUCAGCCGGCAUUCGGCCUGUGUUCUGCCUGAUGCCUUGACCCUAGGGACGAGGACUCGGGCCACAUCUCCCACUCAGGGAAGGGAAAGGCCGAGUGGGAGUGGAGGAGUUGUGAACAGAAGGGGAAAGGGCUGUGGAUUGUUCUGAGGUGGAAGACACAUCAAACCGAGUCAGGUCCCUGAGAUAUUAGUUUUAAAAGCCUACAUAAGCAGUGCCCAGAUAAUCAAAACAAAGCAAUUAUCUGGGCGGUUUAGACACUUGUUUCUCUGAUGUGGGGCCCACGCCAUUCUGAUUCCAUGAGCCCUCUAGAAAGGAAUCCAGAAAUAAGCGCAAUUAAUAGUAACAAGCCCAUCUCCUCCGCUGGCCGGAAGCUUGCUGGGAAACUUGUUUAUGUUUGUCUUUGUCUGGGGACUGCAGAGGUGGCCAUGAAGUAGUCUGAAGCCCAAGGAGGAGGGGUCCCGGCUGCUUGCUACCAUUUGGGUCUGAGAGCCACACUGUAGGGCCCAAGAUAGGUAAAUGUAGGUGGGAGCUGAUGGGAAAAUGCAACCUGUAAAAUGUCGCCCUUUUCUGUACCCCUCUGCACACCCUCCUUUCCCAAGGUGUGGCCUAAACCUUGCCCCAUUGCCUAAUCAUCCUUCACCAUUUAGGUAGGAAGGUCUAUGGAAGGCGUAGAUAAAGAGACAUCUGGUGACCGUGGAAGAAACUAGAACUGAGGGACCCAUUCUGUAGGGUCUGGCUUGGGGCAGGAGAGGGGUGUGGGUGGGGGGUUAAUUGGCAGAAUCUUAGGGAUCCCAGUUUCCUAACAAUUCUUAGGUCAAGAAGUGACAUUACUGGGCUGGCAUGGUGGCCCAGUGGGUUAAGCCACCGCCUGCAACUCCAGCAUAACACACGAGCACAGGUUCCAGUCCCAGCUGCUCCACUUCCGAUCCAGCUCCCUGCUAAUGCGCCUGGGAAGGCAGCGGAAGAUGGCCCAAAUGCUUGGGCCCCUGCAUCCACGUGGGAGACGCAGAUGCAGUUCCAGACUCCUGUCUUCAGCCUAGCCCAGUCCUGGUCCCUGUGGCCAUUUGAGGAGUGAACCAGUGGGUAGAAGAUCCCUCUCGCUCUGCCUUUUCAAGAAUUAACAAUAAAUCUUAAAAAACCAAGUGACAUUACUGGGGAGAAAUAAUACAGCUAGUGGCAGUGUUGGUGCUCUGCAUUGUUUUUCCAAGUUCCCAAUA
Molecule: RNA transcript, 4315 nt
Organism: Lepus europaeus (European hare)
Lineage: Eukaryota; Metazoa; Chordata; Mammalia; Lagomorpha; Leporidae
Gene: MAD2L1BP
Gene name: MAD2L1 binding protein
Exons: 4
Source: RefSeq, a predicted model, not a curated record